GAUGAACGCUGGCGGCGUGCCUAAUACAUGCAAGUCGAGCGAACAGACGAGGAGCUUGCUCCUCUGACGUUAGCGGCGGACGGGUGAGUAACACGUGGAUAACCUACCUAUAAGACUGGGAUAACUUCGGGAAACCGGAGCUAAUACCGGAUAAUAUAUUGAACCGCAUGGUUCAAUAGUGAAAGACGGUUUUGCUGUCACUUAUAGAUGGAUCCGCGCCGCAUUAGCUAGUCGGUAAGGUAACGGCUUACCAAGGCAACGAUGCGUAGCCGACCUGGGAGGGUGAUCGGCCACACUGGAACUGAGACACGGUCCAGACUCCUACGGGAGGCAGCAGUAGGGAAUCUUCCGCGAUGGGCGAAAGCUUGACGGAGCAACGCCGCGUGAGUGAUGAAGGUCUUCGGAUCGUAAAACUCUGUUAUUAGGGAAGAACAAAUGUGUAAGUAACUAUGCACGUCUUGACGGUACCUAAUCAGAAAGCCACGGCUAACUACGUG
RNAcentral lists this ribosomal RNA (497 nucleotides) under uncultured bacterium. RNAcentral's name for it is "partial 16S ribosomal RNA". It matches the Rfam family "Bacterial small subunit ribosomal RNA", at positions 28 to 507 of the family's 1533-position model. The record is from RNAcentral.